GUAGAGGAGAGAGAGCAGGAGGGCGGAGAGGGGGAAAGCAGGAAAAGUGCAUCUCGGACUCGUCGCGAGGGUUCUCUUGCUGGAGAGCUCGCUGGAUAGAGGAGGGAGGGGAGAAGAAAAUUAGAGCGAGAAAUUUUGAAUUUCUCCAACUCCUAGGGUGAGAAUCAGGGUUUCUUCGCUCAUCUCCUUCUUGGUGAAUCUAGCGUUCGGUCUUCUCUUUCUCCUUUUCCAGUUCUCCUUGCUUCCUUGUUCUUCGUUGAUGAGUGCAAUCGAUUGAUUGUUAUAUGUUGGGGUUGGGGGGAGCUUGAUAGAUUGAGAGGAAUGGACGAGGCCUGGGAGAGAGCCGUGGAGGCGGCCCUCGAAGGACAGGCGGACUUGUCCUUGGCGCCGCGAACCCUAACCCUAGAUGGGGCGGUGAAGUGCCUCCAGGGGCGGCUCCCUCCGCCGGGGCUGCUGGAGAGGUACCAGAGCCUGGAGCACCUCUCGAUCGCCAGCAUCGGGGUCUCGUCGUUGGAGAAGUUCCCGCGACUCCGGAACCUACAGCGGCUUAUCCUCUCCGACAACCGGAUCGCCGGCGGGCUCGAGUUCCUGGUGGAGGCCGGGCUCGAUUCGCUUCGGGAUCUCGAUCUCUCCAACAAUCGGAUACAGUUCCUCGAGGAUCUCGCGCCUCUCGCCCAGCUCCGUCUCGUGUCGCUGGAUCUCUAUGAGUGCCCCGUCACCAGGGUCAAGGACUACCGAUCCAGGGUGUUCGGGAUGAUCCGGACGUUGAAGUAUCUUGACAAGAUGGAUGCUGAUGAGAACGAGCGGCCGGAGUCGGACGAGGAGGAGGAGGAUGAGGAAGAUGACGAAGAGGAGGAGGAGGAUCCGGGGAGCGUUGAGGUUGAUGGCGGGGAUCGGGUUGGGAGGUCGGUGGAUGGCGUUGGAGGAAGUGGUAGAGGGGUUGCGAUUGUCGAUGUGGAUGAGGACGGUGAGAGUGAUGCUGAUGAGGAGGAGACAGAGAGUGGUAGGAGGGUGGAAGCCAAUGGACUGGGGCGGGGGUCUCAUCACCACCUAUCAAAUGGGUUCCGGGUGGAGCCGGUCGGAGCAGCUUCCACUGAUAUGGAGGACGAGGAGGAGGAGGAAGAGGAGGAUGUGGAGGAUGACGAUGAGGAGGAAGAGGAUUUGGUGGAGGAGAUUGAUGAGGAGGAAGGGGAAGAUGAUGAUGUGGUUGAGGUGCAUGAUGUCGGGGACAGUGAUGAUGAUGCUGACGGGGUCGAGGAGGUUGGGGAGGAUGAGAUAGAUGAAGAGGGGGAUGAUGAGGAGGAUGGGGAUGGGGAUGAAGAUGAGGAGGAUGUGGAGGAUGAAGAGGAUGAUGGUGACCCGGGCAGCACGGGGAGGUUGACGAGCACGGAAGGGGAGAUUGAUGCGCAUGAGCAGGGGGAGGAGGAUGGGAACGGGGAGAUUGGUGAGGAGGAUGAGCAGGGAGUGGAGGAGGAUAGGGAGUAUGAGGAGGGUGAUGGUGAGGAUGAAGAUGAGGAAGAGGAUCUCGGAACAGAAUAUCUAGUGCAGCCGAUUGCUCAACCUGUGGAUGAGAUUGGAGGAAGUGAUUUUGAUGCUUGCAACGAAGAAGAUGAAGAUGAGGUUGAUGAUGAUGAAGUUGAUAAUGAGGACAAUCACAGCAAUGGUGUCCUGCCACACCCUCCUCCGUCUUCUCAACCCAACAAGAGAAAGAGAGAUGAAGAAGAUGAUGACUGUGUUGAGGAGUUGAGGUCUUCAAAGCAUCACUGAUGAUGAUUCAGCAGCAGUGUACAUGGAUGCUAGUAGAAGAAACAAGGGGUCUCGCGGCGCAUACGGACGGGGGAGUUGCACAUGUAUUGCAGGAAAUUUGAUGCGUUGAUGAGGGCUGAUCAUCAUUCCUGAUCUUUAAUCGGACGGUCGGAGCUCACGAGAAACGAAUGGUUUCUCGACACCAACGGGAACGAAGGCGAGAGCCGAAGACAGCCCCGGGCUCCCUAUCGUAAAUGGCGUCGUCUCUCAGAAUGCUGCGGUCACGUGCAAGGCGAAGGACGCGGGGAUUGGCGGCGGUGGCGGGCCUUCUGGUGAACCCGGUGAUCGGCCUGUCGAUGUACGCGCUCAAGACGACCGGUUGCGUCCUCCUGCCGGGGCCUGGGGCGUCGAUCGGAGCGGCGGAGGCGGUGAGCUACCUGGUGGCGGCCAGCGUACGUCAUGGGCUGGUCUGUCUACAGUAAAGUGCGAAUUGUUCGGGGCCGUCGAGGGCCUCCUCGUCCCACUCCCUGGCAACCAGCGCUUUGGUUGAGGCGAUGAGUUUCCGCCCUUUGUCCCUUGGAUCUACGUCGCUAAUCUGUUUCUUUGCUUCUUUUCUUUAUUUGUCUCUCUGGUUCUCUCUCUCUGCUUCAUUAAAGGGAAGGUAUACUGCAUCAAUUGCAAACAUUAAGAUGUUGGUUUGGCCUUCCGAGCCGAGUAAUCAGAGCGACAGCCAUUAUUAGUUGAUUAGGUUGAUGAGUUCUGCAUUGCUUGACUUGCUAACAAUGUCCACUUUUCAAUAUAUGUACAUUUAUGUAUGUAUGUAUGUAUUCAAUUUCUAUGUAUGUGUGUAUGUAUUAAACAAAAAGAUAUCACAAAUCUGGUCA
RNA transcript from Phoenix dactylifera (date palm), 2630 nucleotides. RefSeq lists it as uncharacterized. The record is from RefSeq and is a predicted model, not a curated record. Lineage: Eukaryota; Viridiplantae; Streptophyta; Magnoliopsida; Arecales; Arecaceae.